CGUGAAUUCAUCUCCGGGGGUAGAGCACUGUUUCGGCUAGGGGGCCAUCCCGGCUUACCAACCCGAUGCAAACUGCGAAUACCGGAGAAUGUUAUCACGGGAGACACACGGCGGGUGCUAACGUCCGUCGUGAAGAGGGAAACAACCCAGACCGCCAGCUAAGGUCCCAAAGUCAUGGUUAAGUGGGAAACGAUGUGGGAAGGCCCAGACAGCCAGGAUGUUGGCUUAGAAGCAGCCAUCAUUUAAAGAAAGCGUAAUAGCUCACUGGUCGAGUCGGCCUGCGCGGAAGAUGUAACGGGGCUAAACCAUGCACCGAAGCUGCGGCAGCGACACUGUGUGUUGUUGGGUAGGGGAGCGUUCUGUAAGCCUGUGAAGGUGUGUCGUGAGGCA
Molecule: ribosomal RNA, 390 nt
Filed under: Salmonella enterica
Lineage: Bacteria; Pseudomonadati; Pseudomonadota; Gammaproteobacteria; Enterobacterales; Enterobacteriaceae
Description: partial 23S ribosomal RNA
Rfam family: Bacterial large subunit ribosomal RNA
Source: RNAcentral